GGCCGGGGCAAGAAGAGAGAGAGAAGCCUCUGCUUAAUGGCCAGAAAGCAGUCUUUUGUGUGGGCUACCUCAAGGGACAUAGUCAUCUCAGGGGGUACUGCACAUGACUCUCACCCAAAUGCCCAGAAAUGCCACGUUGGCAGAAGAGGGAUGAAAAAGGGACCAACAACCAAGAGGGUAUUGGACCACGAUGGGUACCAGCAAAUUGGGUGAAGCCUUAUCUGCAUUGAUGAUCAUCCUCUCCUGUGCCUGCACCACUGUAAUGGUCUUUUGGGUACCUGCACAGCCAAAACAGAAUGUGCAGGUUACCUUGGCCAAUGCGAUGGGACAAGAGACAAUCUGCUUGUUGAAUACAUCACCGGAGAACCCGUUCUCAACAUGUUUGGUCAGACAGCCACUUGAUGAAUUGCCCAUUCUGAGUUCAUUCCUGAGAAUUGCUCUUCAGAUGUCAUCUAACAUGAGUGACGUGAUCGAUUGAUGGGAUGAGUGGGCAUCUUACUUGCAGCAGGGUAAUCUCAAACCACAAACUUGAAUUAUUGGGAUCAGUUAAAAUGGACUAUUGUCUGUACUUUAACUAUAGUGGAAAGAAUCAGUCUCUAACUCAGUGUGUUAAUUCUAGCUUAACUGCUUACAGGGAUGCUUCUGCCUGGUGCAAUUACACUUCACCUAAUAUUUUGAGAUCUACUAACAGACUACUUAGCAUACCAGCAGGUGUUUUCCUCAUCUUUGAGGACAAGGCAUGGCCAGGCAUUCCUUCCCAUACUAGAGGAGGUCCGUGUAGUUUAGGGAGACUAACUUUAUUAACACCCAAUCUCACUAUGAUUUAUGAACACAGGAAAAAUCACACACGCCAGAAAAGAGUUGUGCAUGCAUUCCAGUCAGACUGCAAGGAUAAUGUAGAAUUUUGGAGCUGUGGAGGAACAAUAGCAGCAUCCUUUUUAGCUCCAGUCAUGGUUGUUAGGACUUCUGUUUGUCUUCUAAAUCUUUUUAUGUUCAGUUUAACUACCUAAGGAACAUCAUUAUUUUGUCUUAUUCUGGGCUGAGUUAUUUGACAUUAAUUCAUUAACUUCAAAGUGAAUAGGAACAGGCCUCAG
Molecule: long non-coding RNA, 1094 nt
Organism: Gallus gallus (chicken)
Lineage: Eukaryota; Metazoa; Chordata; Aves; Galliformes; Phasianidae
Source: Ensembl